This is a non-coding RNA of Ornithorhynchus anatinus (platypus), 139 nucleotides long. The record is from Rfam. NCBI's taxonomy places the organism in Eukaryota, Metazoa, Chordata, Mammalia, Monotremata, Ornithorhynchidae.
CCUCUCUCAGGGUGGUACCUGGAGAGUUUCCAGGCCUCUACCAGUUUUGGCUAUGGGAGGGAGAAUCAGGCAGAGGCAUGCCCAUUCCAUUCACUAGCUUGGGCAGCAGCUAGCGAGUGGAAGGCCAUCUGCUACAAAU